AAAUUUCUGAUUACUCCUAAAA
This 22-nucleotide microRNA is filed under the name Drosophila melanogaster (fruit fly). Its description in RNAcentral is "dme-miR-4916-3p". The record is from miRBase by way of RNAcentral. Lineage: Eukaryota; Metazoa; Arthropoda; Insecta; Diptera; Drosophilidae.